This is a non-coding RNA of Clostridium sp. D5, 135 nucleotides long. NCBI's taxonomy places the organism in Bacteria, Bacillati, Bacillota, Clostridia, Eubacteriales, Clostridiaceae. The record is from Rfam.
UUGAAAUGCUAUUGAGCUCCGAAAUUUUACAAAGUCUCAGAGGCCGACGCAGUUUACCCAUGCGGAAGGCAACAUCACAGUAAGCGUUAGAGAAACGAUGCGAGUUUAUUGUGGCUCUGGCGGAGUCAGAGGGCC